GGGAGGCAGCAGUGGGGAAUUUUGGACAAUGGGCGAAAGCCUGAUCCAGCCAUGCCGCGUGCGGGAAGAAGGCCUUCGGGUUGUAAACCGCUUUCAGGUGGAAAGAAAUCGUUCUGGCCAAUACCCAGGAUGGAUGACGGUACCAUCAGAAGAAGCACCGGCUAAAUACGUGCCAGCAGCCGCGGUAAUACGUAGGGUGCGAGCGUUUAUGGGAAUUACUGGGCGUAAAGCGUGCGCAGGCGGCUUUUUAAGCCAGACGUGAAAUCCCCGGGCUUCACCUGGGAAGUGCGUUUGGAACUGGAAAGCUAGAGUGUGUCAGAGGGGGGUGGAAUUCCGCGUGUAGCAGUGAAAUGUGUAGAUAUGGGGAGGAACACCGAUGGAGAAGGCAGCCCCCUGGGAUAACACUGACGCUCAUGCAAGAAAGCGUGGGGAGCAAACAGGAUUAGAUACCCUGGUAGUCCACGCCCUAAACGAUGUCAACUGGCUGUUGGGAGAGAAAUCUUUCAGUAGCGA
RNAcentral lists this ribosomal RNA (513 nucleotides) under uncultured beta proteobacterium. RNAcentral describes it as "bacterial SSU rRNA". It matches the Rfam family "Bacterial small subunit ribosomal RNA", at positions 343 to 849 of the family's 1533-position model. Lineage: Bacteria; Pseudomonadati; Pseudomonadota; Betaproteobacteria. The record is from RNAcentral.